This 207-nucleotide ribosomal RNA is filed under the name uncultured bacterium. Its description in RNAcentral is "partial 16S ribosomal RNA". It matches the Rfam family "Bacterial small subunit ribosomal RNA", at positions 568 to 774 of the family's 1533-position model. RNAcentral also lists the same sequence under 1 other name. The record is from RNAcentral.
CACGCAGGCGGUCUGUCAAGUCGGAUGUGAAAUCCCCGGGCUCAACCUGGGAACUGCAUCCGAAACUGGCAGGCUAGAGUCUUGUAGAGGGGGGUAGAAUUCCAGGUGUAGCGGUGAAAUGCGUAGAGAUCUGGAGGAAUACCGGUGGCGAAGGCGGCCCCCUGGACAAAGACUGACGCUCAGGUGCGAAAGCGUGGGGAGCAAACA